This 542-nucleotide ribosomal RNA is filed under the name uncultured bacterium. RNAcentral's name for it is "bacterial SSU rRNA". It matches the Rfam family "Bacterial small subunit ribosomal RNA", at positions 777 to 1319 of the family's 1533-position model. The record is from RNAcentral.
AAUAGAUACCCCGGUAGUCCAUGCCGUAAACGUUGGGCACUAGGUGUGGGACCCCCUCAACGGGUUCCGUGCCGUAGCUAACGCAUUAAGUGCCCCGCCUGGGGAAUACGGCCGCAAGGCUAAAACUCAAAGGAAUUGACGGGGGCCCGCACAAGCAGCGGAGCAUGUUGCUUAAUUCGAGGCAACGCGAAGAACCUUACCUGGGUUUGACAUGUACGGAAAAGCCACAGAGAUGUGGUGUCCUUUUGGGCCGUACACAGGUGGUGCAUGGUUGUCGUCAGCUCGUGUCGUGAGAUGUUGGGUUAAGUCCCGCAACGAGCGCAACCCUUGUCCUAUGUUGCCAGCGGGUAAUGCCGGGGACUCGUAGGAGACUGCCGGGGACAACUCGGAGGAAGGUGGGGAUGACGUCAAAUCAUCAUGCCCCUUAUGCCCAGGGCUGCAAACAUGCUACAAUGGCCAGUACAAAGGGCUGCUAUACCGCGAGGUUGAGCGAAUCCCACAAAGCUGGUCUCAGUUCGGAUUGGAGUCUGCAACUCGACUCC